UAAUCUCACUACAAUCCUCUUUGGUUGUAUGUGGAUCUGGAUGCUGCUGUGUGCUUACAAACGGCUCAUCUGAAAUGCCUGAGUGUACCCUGCUUUGCAGCGUAUUCGGUGUGAUACAGCUUCACCGGAGUUUGACUUUUCGGGGUCACGUCUGCUUACUUAUGGCUCUAUGCUUCCAACUGUCUCUGACCAGACAAUGCCUGACA
This 206-nucleotide unclassified non-coding RNA is filed under the name uncultured Sebacinales. Its description in RNAcentral is "sequence contains ITS2". Lineage: Eukaryota; Fungi; Basidiomycota; Agaricomycetes; Sebacinales. The record is from RNAcentral.